CAUCCAGCCAAAUAUAUCCAUGAAAAAAUAAUUUACAAGCACAACCGGUGCCACACCCCGAGCAAGCAGCAGAACUCGCACUGCAACAGAAGCGCCCGGUAACAAGUGCAUUAAGUGAAAACUCUGCCUAAUUCCUGUUUUACAUGACUGUAAACAUCACCUCACCGCGCCGCUACCAUAAAUGGUCCGCGGCAGCACAGAUAAAGCCGUCACCGCUGUUAUAUCGGUAUCACUUUUCUCCCGUGACUGAUACAUGGCAAGAUCAAGGGCUGCAGACAGAUGAAGACCACAAAUGUUCCAGCUGACCUCACUUUCCAAAAUGCAUCAUUCCCACAAAUAAACAUCAUUAAACAUAA
Long non-coding RNA from Corapipo altera (White-ruffed manakin), 356 nucleotides. RefSeq lists it as uncharacterized. The transcript is spliced from 2 exons. The record is from RefSeq and is a predicted model, not a curated record. NCBI's taxonomy places the organism in Eukaryota, Metazoa, Chordata, Aves, Passeriformes, Pipridae.